This 463-nucleotide long non-coding RNA is filed under the name Homo sapiens (human). RNAcentral's name for it is "HSALNT0353444". Lineage: Eukaryota; Metazoa; Chordata; Mammalia; Primates; Hominidae. The record is from RNAcentral.
GGGACGACGAGGAAGGGGAAGGUUAUGAAGGGCUGUGACACCUUGCUUGGCUUCUAGUCUUGACAUAGACUAAAAGGCAGAAGGUUUCCAGAGCUCACGCUGGAUGGCUGGGCAGAUGAGGUCUUCAGAGACUCUCCAGGGAGUGGCCAGGAUACCCUAUCCAGAGGAAGCAGGACCGUCUCAGCUGACCAGGGCCCUUGCCUGCUAAUAGCAUCAUGCAUACCUUGUUUCUUCAUGAGGCUGCUUGCCCGAGUUCCAAUCCACCAGGAAUUCAUCUUGUAUCAUAGCUGAUGGAUCCCGUGUCUCGUUUCUAAGUUGGAGCAUCACUUUGCAGCUCCCAACCAGGGCCAGCCACAAAAUUUGAAAGGCCCAGUGCAAAAUAAAAAUGCAGAGCCCCUUGUUCAAAAAGCAGGAAAAGAAUGGGCCAGCAAAGGAACUAAAAUAAACGAAAGCUUUUCCCUUU